ACGUUACUAACGACGAUAUGCUUUGGGGAGCUGUAAGUAAGCUUUGAUCCAGAGAUUUCCGAAUGGGGAAACCCAGCAUGAGUUAUGUCAUGUUAUCGAUAUGUGAAUACAUAGCAUAUCAGAAGGCACACCCGGAGAACUGAAACAUCUUAGUACCCGGAGGAAGAGAAAGAAAAUUCGAUUCCCUUAGUAGCGGCGAGCGAAACGGGAAGAGCCCAAACCAACAAGCUUGCUUGUUGGGGUUGUAGGACACUCUAUACGGAGUUACAAAGGACGACAUUAGACGAAUCAUCUGGAAAGAUGAAUCAAAGAAGGUAAUAAUCCUGUAGUCGAAAAUGUUGUCUCUCUUGAGUGGAUCCUGAGUACGACGGAGCACGUGAAAUUCCGUCGGAAUCUGGGAGGACCAUCUCCUAAGGCUAAAUACUCUCUAGUGACCGAUAGUGAACCAGUACCGUGAGGGAAAGGUGAAAAGCACCCCGGAAGGGGAGUGAAAUAGAACCUGAAACCGUGUGCUUACAAGUAGUCAGAGCCCGUUAAUGGGUGAUGGCGUGCCUUUUGUAGAAUGAACCGGCGAGUUACGAUUUGAUGCAAGGUUAAGCAGUAAAUGUGGAGCCGUAGCGAAAGCGAGUCUGAAUAGGGCGUUUAGUAUUUGGUCGUAGACCCGAAACCAGGUGAUCUACCCUUGGUCAGGUUGAAGUUCAGGUAACACUGAAUGGAGGACCGAACCGACUUACGUUGAAAAGUGAGCGGAUGAACUGAGGGUAGCGGAGAAAUUCCAAUCGAACCUGGAGAUAGCUGGUUCUCUCCGAAAUAGCUUUAGGGCUAGCCUCAAGUGAUGAUUAUUGGAGGUAGAGCACUGUUUGGACGAGGGGCCCCUCUCGGGUUACCGAAUUCAGACAAACUCCGAAUGCCAAUUAAUUUAACUUGGGAGUC
RNAcentral lists this ribosomal RNA (933 nucleotides) under Staphylococcus aureus. RNAcentral describes it as "partial 23S ribosomal RNA". It matches the Rfam family "Bacterial large subunit ribosomal RNA", at positions 56 to 985 of the family's 2925-position model. Lineage: Bacteria; Bacillati; Bacillota; Bacilli; Caryophanales; Staphylococcaceae. The record is from RNAcentral.